ACACAACAAUAGUACAUUUAGUGGUGGAGCACGAGACUCUUAAUCUCAGGGUUGUGGGUUUGAGCCCCAUGUUGGGCA
Podarcis lilfordi (Lilford's wall lizard) is the source of this 78-nucleotide non-coding RNA. NCBI's taxonomy places the organism in Eukaryota, Metazoa, Chordata, Lepidosauria, Squamata, Lacertidae. The record is from the annotation of a GenBank genome assembly.